AGGAUUAUAGUUAAAUAUAACAUUUAAUUUGCAUUUAAAAAGUACUGUCCACAGUUAAUCUUA
Molecule: transfer RNA, 63 nt
Filed under: Euspilotus scissus
Lineage: Eukaryota; Metazoa; Arthropoda; Insecta; Coleoptera; Histeridae
Description: tRNA-Ala
Rfam family: tRNA
About the family: Transfer RNA (tRNA) molecules are approximately 80 nucleotides in length. Their secondary structure includes four short double-helical elements and three loops (D, anti-codon, and T loops).
Source: RNAcentral